GGCCAGGGUCGUCUCGGCAC
This 20-nucleotide ribosomal RNA is filed under the name Blatta orientalis (oriental cockroach). Its description in RNAcentral is "partial 5.8S ribosomal RNA". Lineage: Eukaryota; Metazoa; Arthropoda; Insecta; Blattodea; Blattidae. The record is from RNAcentral.